Molecule: microRNA precursor, 92 nt
Filed under: Canis lupus familiaris (dog)
Lineage: Eukaryota; Metazoa; Chordata; Mammalia; Carnivora; Canidae
Also listed under: 1 other name
Description: mir-8799 microRNA precursor family
Rfam family: mir-8799 microRNA precursor family
Source: Rfam by way of RNAcentral
GGGGGAGCGCUGGAUAUUGGGCUGUGUCCCCAGCGCCCCUGGCUCCGGGGCCUGCACCACUGGAAUCGUGCUCCCGGGCCGCACACUCCCCU